Molecule: long non-coding RNA, 461 nt
Filed under: Sarcophilus harrisii (Tasmanian devil)
Lineage: Eukaryota; Metazoa; Chordata; Mammalia; Dasyuromorphia; Dasyuridae
Description: lncRNA (ENSSHAG00000030915.1)
Source: RNAcentral
GUGGGGCAUAGAAGGAGGAGCUGUCAGGACUGGAAGGACAAACCCACUAAAGGACAAGCCCACUAGAGACACAAGCUUGCUAGAAGCUCUGAGCCUCAGCCAGGAUUCAGUCGAGGAGAUUCAGAAGCCAGAGAAGGCAGCUUAAGCUCUCGGAACCAACACUACAGAAGGCCUCUAAGAAAAACUAGCUGAGCCCCAAGUGAACGAGAUAAGACUCUGAAGGAGACAAGGAAAGGAUUUGGACUUUAACUCCUGCCUGCAUUUGGGCUUCUGGGAGUUAUAAAUGUCAGCUGCACAUUGCUAUGCCUGCAAAGCAAGGUUCAUGUCUUACUUCUGGUACAAUUUGUUUGAUCCCAAGCUCUUUGAUCCCAAGCAAGUACUUCAGCAUCACAGUGAUGUCAAACAUAGAGCCCACAGACAAUAUUCUGAACUGCAACUCACAACAAAUUAAAAUAUAGAAG